RNAcentral lists this ribosomal RNA (1457 nucleotides) under uncultured marine bacterium. RNAcentral's name for it is "16S ribosomal RNA". It matches the Rfam family "Bacterial small subunit ribosomal RNA". The record is from RNAcentral.
GAUGAACGCUGGCGGCGUGCUUAACACAUGCAAGUCGAACGAACCUUCGGGUUAGUGGCGGACGGGUGAGUAACGCGUGAGAAUCUGCCCUCAGGAGGGGGAUAACAGCUGGAAACGGCUGCUAAUACCCCAUAUGCCGCGAGGUGAAAUGAAUUUCGCCUGAGGAUGAGCUCGCGUCUGAUUAGCUAGUUGGUGUGGGUAAUGGCUCACCAAGGCAUCGAUCAGUAGCUGGUCUGAGAGGAUGAUCAGCCACACUGGGACUGAGACACGGCCCAGACUCCUACGGGAGGCAGCAGUGGGGAAUUUUCCGCAAUGGGCGAAAGCCUGACGGAGCAACGCCGCGUGAGGGAUGAAGGCCUCUGGGCUGUAAACCUCUUUUAUCAAGGAAGAAGAUCUGACGGUACUUGAUGAAUAAGCCACGGCUAAUUCCGUGCCAGCAGCCGCGGUAAUACGGGAGUGGCAAGCGUUAUCCGGAAUUAUUGGGCGUAAAGCGUCCGCAGGCGGCCCUUCAAGUCUGCUGUUAAAAAGUGGAGCUUAACUCCAUCAUGGCAGUGGAAACUGAGGGGCUUGAGUGUGGUAGGGGCAGAGGGAAUUCCCGGUGUAGCGGUGAAAUGCGUAGAUAUCGGGAAGAACACCAGUGGCGAAGGCGCUCUGCUGGGCCAUCACUGACGCUCAUGGACGAAAGCCAGGGGAGCGAAAGGGAUUAGAUACCCCUGUAGUCCUGGCCGUAAACGAUGAACACUAGGUGUCGGGGGAAUCGACCCCCUCGGUGUCGUAGCCAACGCGUUAAGUGUUCCGCCUGGGGAGUACGCACGCAAGUGUGAAACUCAAAGGAAUUGACGGGGGCCCGCACAAGCGGUGGAGUAUGUGGUUUAAUUCGAUGCAACGCGAAGAACCUUACCAGGGUUUGACAUCCUGCGAAUCUCUUGGAAACGAGAGAGUGCCUUCGGGAACGCAGUGACAGGUGGUGCAUGGCUGUCGUCAGCUCGUGUCGUGAGAUGUUGGGUUAAGUCCCGCAACGAGCGCAACCCACGUCUUUAGUUGCCAGCAUUUAGUUGGGCACUCUAGAGAGAACGCCGGUGAUAAACCGGAGGAAGGUGUGGAUGACGUCAAGUCAUCAUGCCCCUUACAUCCUGGGCUACACACGUACUACAAUGCUACGGACAAAGGGCAGCAAGUUCGCGAGGACAAGCAAAUCCCAUAAACCGUGGCUCAGUUCAGAUCGUAGGCUGCAACUCGCCUACGUGAAGGAGGAAUCGCUAGUAAUCGCAGGUCAGCAUACUGCGGUGAAUACGUUCCCGGGCCUUGUACACACCGCCCGUCGCACCAUGGAAGUUGGCCACGCCCGAAGCCGUUACUCCAACCCUUGUGGAGGAGGACGUCGAAGGUGGGGCUGAUGACUGGGGUGAAGUCGUAACAAGGUAUCCGUACCGGAAGGUGCGGAUGGAUCACCUCCU